AUGUCCGUGUCUCCCUUCACCUCCAUGUCUGACACCUGCCCUUUCGGGUCUGAACUUCCCCAUCCGAUUUGGAGUGAGGCAGCUCUUCUGAUUUUGCCAACUCCUUCCUCCCCGUUGCCCAGGGGCCAAACCAGGGUGGAAAAUGAGCGUAGGAGUAAAUGAUGAUGUGUAUUCCGCUACACCUUCCCUGGCCUGCUUAAUCUCCUGAUCCCCCACACCCAGUAAGGAUGGCAAUGACUGACACAAGCAUUAAAGAUAUGGAAACGUCCCUCCUGAAUGAUCUCACUAAUGCCAAGUCUCUGGAUUGCUGGAGCAUCUGAAUGCCAGAAUGAAAUAUUUGGAAUCUUCUCCAGAUGUUUCAGAC
Long non-coding RNA from Fukomys damarensis (Damara mole-rat), 364 nucleotides. RefSeq lists it as uncharacterized. The transcript is spliced from 3 exons. Lineage: Eukaryota; Metazoa; Chordata; Mammalia; Rodentia; Bathyergidae. The record is from RefSeq and is a predicted model, not a curated record.